CCUACGGGAGGCAGCAGUGAGGAAUAUUGGUCAAUGGACGAGAGUCUGAACCAGCCAAGUAGCGUGAAGGAUGACUGCCCUAUGGGUUGUAAACUUCUUUUAUAUGGGAAUAAAAUGUUCCACGUGUGGGAUUUUGUAUGUACCAUAUGAAUACGGAUCGGCUAACUCCGUGCCAGCAGCCGCGGUAAUACGGAGGAUCCGAGCGUUAUCCGGAUUUAUUGGGUUUAAAGGGAGCGUAGGUGGAUUGUUAAGUCAGUUGUGAAAGUUUGCGGCUCAACCGUAAAAUUGCAGUUGAAGCUGGCAGUCUUGAGUACAGUAGAGGUGGGCGGAAUUCGUGGUGUAGCGGUGAAAUGCUUAGAUAUCACGAAGAACUCCGAUUGCGAAGGCAGUUCACUGGACUGCAACUGACACUGAGGCUCGAAAGUGUGGGUAUCAAACAGGAUUAGAUACCCUUGUAGUC
This 460-nucleotide ribosomal RNA is filed under the name uncultured bacterium. RNAcentral's name for it is "partial 16S ribosomal RNA". It matches the Rfam family "Bacterial small subunit ribosomal RNA", at positions 338 to 795 of the family's 1533-position model. The record is from RNAcentral.